Molecule: unclassified non-coding RNA, 387 nt
Filed under: Hevea brasiliensis (rubber tree)
Lineage: Eukaryota; Viridiplantae; Streptophyta; Magnoliopsida; Malpighiales; Euphorbiaceae
Source: RNAcentral
GCAAAAGCAGAAGUGCAAGAAACUAGACUCUUAAUUGGAAGUAGCAGCAAGUAACAGUUAGUACAAAAACGCAAACUGAAACCAAUCCCACUAAUUUGAGCCACAAAGAAAUAUACAUCAGCAAGUAAUGCCACUCCUCCGUUAUACGGGACAUUAACAAUAUUGCCAUGAACUUCAACUUGUCCAAAUCCACCUCCAUAGAAGGCAACUAAAUAUGUCCUAUUGUUCUCUUGAGUUCUAACAAAUCUCCAAUUAUUAGUAUCAAAUUGCCCAUCUCUAACAUAAACACUAAGAUUCCUCGGAAACAAUCCAGUAACGUCUUCGUCCACGACCUUGAACAUUCGCAGGAUCCAUUUAACAUCUAAUUGGGUAGGAAGAGGAGAAGGU